RNAcentral lists this ribosomal RNA (519 nucleotides) under uncultured Acremonium. RNAcentral's name for it is "eukaryotic LSU rRNA". It matches the Rfam family "Eukaryotic large subunit ribosomal RNA", at positions 82 to 626 of the family's 3401-position model. The record is from RNAcentral. Lineage: Eukaryota; Fungi; Ascomycota.
AGUAACGGCGAGUGAAGCGGCAACAGCCCAAAUUUGAAAUCUGGCCCUCGGGUCCGAGUUGUAAUUUGUAGAGGAUGCUUUUGGUGAGGUGCCUUCCGAGUUCCCUGGAACGGGACGCCAUAGAGGGUGAGAGCCCCGUCUGGUUGGACACCAAACCUCUGUAAAGCUCCUUCGACGAGUCGAGUAGUUUGGGAAUGCUGCUCUAAAUGGGAGGUAUAUGUCUUCUAAAGCUAAAUAUUGGCCAGAGACCGAUAGCGCACAAGUAGAGUGAUCGAAAGAUGAAAAGCACUUUGAAAAGAGGGUUAAAUAGUACGUGAAAUUGUUGAAAGGGAAGCGCUUGUGACCAGACUUGAGCCCGGUUAAUCAUCCAGCCUUCUGGCUGGUGCACUUGGCCGGCUCAGGCCAGCAUCAGUUCGGCGUGGGGGAUAAAGGUUUCGGGAAUGUGGCUCCUCCGGGAGUGUUAUAGCCCGUUGCGUAAUACCCUGUACUGGACUGAGGUUCGCGCAUCUGCAAGGAUGC